GACGAACGCUGGCGGCGCGCUUAACACAUGCAAGUCGAACGGAAAGGCCUGCUUUCCCUUGUGGAUUGCGGGUACUCGAGUGGCGAACGGGUGAGUAACACGUGAGUGAUCUGCCCCCAACUUGGGUAUAAGCCUGGGAAACUGGAUCUAAUUCCCGAUAGGACUGCAGGGUGGUGCCUGUGGUGGAAAACGAUUUUCUAGUGGUUGGGGAUGAGCUCGCGGCCUAUCAGCUUGUUGGUGGGGUAAUGGCCUACCAAGGCGGCGACGGGUAGCCGGCCUGAGAGGGUGGACGGCCACAUUGGGACUGAGAUACGGCCCAGACUCCUACGGGAGGCAGCAGUGGGGAAUAUUGCACAAUGGGCGGAAGCCUGAUGCAGCGACGCCGCGUGGGGGAUGACGGCCUUCGGGUUGUAAACUCCUUUCGACCGCGAGGAAGCCACCUGGUUGGAAGGGUGGUGACGGUAGUGGUAGAAGAAGCACCGGCUAACUACGUG
RNAcentral lists this ribosomal RNA (494 nucleotides) under uncultured bacterium. RNAcentral describes it as "partial 16S ribosomal RNA". It matches the Rfam family "Bacterial small subunit ribosomal RNA", at positions 28 to 507 of the family's 1533-position model. The record is from RNAcentral.